UACGAAGGGGGCUAGCGUUGCUCGGAAUCACUGGGCGUAAAGCGCACGUAGGCGGCUUUUUAAGUCAGGGGUGAAAUCCUGGAGCUCAACUCCAGAACUGCCCUUGAUACUGGCGGUCUCGAGUCCGGGAGAGGUGAGUGGAACUGCGAGUGUAGAGGUGAAAUUCGUAGAUAUUCGCAAGAACACCAGUGGCGAAGGCGGCUCAUUGGCCCGGUACUGACGCUGAGGUGCGAAAGCGUGGGGAGCAAACAGG
This 253-nucleotide ribosomal RNA is filed under the name uncultured bacterium. Its description in RNAcentral is "partial 16S ribosomal RNA". It matches the Rfam family "Bacterial small subunit ribosomal RNA", at positions 524 to 776 of the family's 1533-position model. The record is from RNAcentral.